Long non-coding RNA from Balaenoptera acutorostrata (minke whale), 522 nucleotides. RefSeq lists it as uncharacterized. The transcript is spliced from 3 exons. NCBI's taxonomy places the organism in Eukaryota, Metazoa, Chordata, Mammalia, Artiodactyla, Balaenopteridae. The record is from RefSeq and is a predicted model, not a curated record.
GUCGAUUACCAGCUCCACCUGCAGGCUGGCGCCCGCCCGGUCUCCUAGCGGCUGCCCCCGGCUCUGCCCCAGGGGCUCUUGCAGGGCCGGCACUCUCUGCGCCUAGCACGGAAAACAUGGGCUCUACAGAGACUGAUAUUUCUUCAUUUCCCAAGACAUCAUGCUGGUCCACUGUGAUGCUGAUGGUAUGCUGCUGAUUUGGACAUGGGCAUCGCGCCUCCCCAGCAGGUAGAAGAGAAGAAGAGCAGGGUUCCAGGGAGGCGCCGGGCCUGGCUGCGGUUUGGCUCCAGGUGGGCGAGCGCGGCCUCAACUUGGAACAGCGCCUCCUCUGGUCCCCGGGCGGCGGUUCUGGAGACGAUGCUUCUGAAGGCGUGGAAAUGGGGGUCCGCGUUUCAAUCCCCUAGGUCGGGAGGCCGCCCUCCCUGCUCGCGAGUCCCAGCUGCCCGCACAGCGGCUGGUCCUGCUUCUGCUGCACCGGCAGCUGCUCGCGUGGAGCACUGCCUGCCCCCGCAUCCUCUCCUG